AACUUUCAGCAAUGGAUCUCUUGGUUCUCGCAUCGAUGAAGAACGCAGCGAAAUGCGAUAAGUAGUGUGAAUUGUAGAAUUCAGUGAAUCAUCGAAUCUUUGAACGCACAUUGCGCCUUCUGGUAAUCCGGGAGGCAUGCCUGUCCGAGCGUCAUAAAACAAACUCCUCAAGCACUGGUGCUUGGUCCUGGGGCUGUGCCAGGUUCCCACCGUGAGGUGGCCCUGCCCUCCGAAAUCUAUAGGCGGAAACCCAGGUCGUAUCCAGGUGUGAUACUUAUAUUUUCUCUUGGUGCGCCUUGGGUUGCAUGCCGUUCCAACCAGCCCCCCAGCUGCUCUUUCAAGUUUGACCUCGGAUCAGGUAGGGAUACCCGCUGAACUUAAGCAUAUCAAUAAGCGGAGGCU
This 402-nucleotide unclassified non-coding RNA is filed under the name uncultured Pezizomycetes. RNAcentral describes it as "sequence contains ITS2". The stretch from base 1 to 154 matches the Rfam family "5.8S ribosomal RNA". The record is from RNAcentral. Lineage: Eukaryota; Fungi; Ascomycota; Pezizomycetes.